This 781-nucleotide long non-coding RNA is filed under the name Mus musculus (house mouse). RNAcentral describes it as "long non-coding RNA chr12:84539406-84540187". The record is from RNAcentral. Lineage: Eukaryota; Metazoa; Chordata; Mammalia; Rodentia; Muridae.
UGCACACUUGUAACCAUUAGCCUCAGGUAGCUAUUAAGUCUAAAUUAAAAGUAAGUAAAUAUUUAAAAAUUCAGCCCCAGCAGAAAUACAUGUGUCUGCCUACCAUGAAGUGAGGAAGCCAAAAGGCAACGUUGUAAGAUCCUGCUUCAUGCUGUUUGGACUUAGACCUUCCAAACUGUGAUCAAAUAAAAUCUCUCUCCCUUUCCAUGUCUGUCUCUGUCUCCCCCUCCCUCCAUCCCUCCCUCCUCUUUUUUUUUUUUUAAUUUAAAGAUGUCUAUAUGUCUGUAUCUGGGUGAUGAUGCAUGUGGAUGUAAUACCUGUAGUGGCCAGAAGAGGGCAUCAGAUCCCCAGGAGCUGGAGUACCUACAUUGUGGGUGCUAAGAACCAAAUUCACAGGGGGCUGGUGAGAUGGCUCAGUGGGUUAGAGCACCCGACUGCUCUUCCGAAGGUGCAGAGUUCAAAUCCCAGCAACCACAUGGUGGCUCACAACCAUCCGUAACAAGAUCUGACCCCCUCUUCUGGAGUGUCUGAAGACAGCUACAAUGUACUUACAUAUAAUAAAUAAACAGCUACAAUGUACUUACAUAUAAUAAAUAAAUAAAUAACUCUGAAGACAGCUACAAUGUACUUACAUAUAAUAAAUAAACAGCUACAAUGUACUUACAUAUAAUAAAUAAAUAAAUAAAUAAAUAAAAAAAAGAACCAAAUUCACAAGAGCAGUACGUACUUCUAACCACUGAACCACCUCUCCAUCCUCUUAAAAAAAAAAAAAAAAAAAAAA